GAUGAACGCUGGCGGCGUGCCUAAUACAUGCAUGUCGAGCGAACAGACGAGGAGCUUGCUCCUCUGACGUUAGCGGCGGACGGGUGAGUAACACGUGGAUAACCUACCUAUAAGACUGGGAUAACUUCGGGAAACCGGAGCUAAUACCGGAUAAUAUAUUGAACCACAUGGUUCAAUAGUGAAAGACGGUUUUGCUGUCACUUAUAGAUGGAUCCGCGCCGCAUUAGCUAGUUGGUAAGGUAACGGCUUACCAAGGCAACGAUGCGUAGCCGACCUGGGAGGGUGAUCGGCCACACUGGAACUGAGACACGGUCCAGACUCCUACGGGAGGCAGCAGUAGGGAAUCUUCCGCAAUGGGCGAAAGCCUGACGGAGCAACGCCGCGUGAGUGAUGAAGGUCUUCGGAUCGUAAAACUCUGUUAUUAGGGAAGAACAAAUGUGUAAGUAACUAUGCACGUCUUGACGGUACCUAAUCAGAAAGCCACGGCUAACUACGUGCCAGCCGCCGCAGUAA
Molecule: ribosomal RNA, 513 nt
Filed under: uncultured bacterium
Lineage: Bacteria
Description: partial 16S ribosomal RNA
Rfam family: Bacterial small subunit ribosomal RNA
Source: RNAcentral